This 90-nucleotide signal recognition particle RNA is filed under the name Saprospiraceae bacterium. Its description in RNAcentral is "signal recognition particle sRNA small type". It matches the Rfam family "Bacterial small signal recognition particle RNA". Rfam says of the family: The signal recognition particle (SRP) is a universally conserved ribonucleoprotein involved in the co-translational targeting of proteins to membranes. Archaeal SRP consists of a 7S RNA and homologues of the eukaryotic SRP19 and SRP54 proteins. Lineage: Bacteria; Pseudomonadati; Bacteroidota; Saprospiria; Saprospirales; Saprospiraceae. The record is from RNAcentral.
GCGGCGCCGGGCGACCAGCUCCUGCAAAACUCCCCCAGGGCGGAAACGCAGCAAGGGUAUGUGGUUGAGCGGUGUGUCUGGCGCUUUUUU